This 346-nucleotide signal recognition particle RNA is filed under the name Homo sapiens (human). RNAcentral's name for it is "HSALNT0376825". It matches the Rfam family "Metazoan signal recognition particle RNA". Rfam says of the family: The signal recognition particle (SRP) is a universally conserved ribonucleoprotein. It is involved in the co-translational targeting of proteins to membranes. The eukaryotic SRP consists of a 300-nucleotide 7S RNA and six proteins: SRPs 72, 68, 54, 19, 14, and 9. The record is from RNAcentral. Lineage: Eukaryota; Metazoa; Chordata; Mammalia; Primates; Hominidae.
CGCGGUGGCGCGUGCCUGUAGUCCCAGCUACUCGGGAGGCUGAGGUGGGAGGAUCGCUUGAGCCCAGGAGUUCUGGGCUGUAGUGCGCUAUGCCGAUCGGGUGUCCGCACUAAGUUCGGCAUCAAUAUGGUGACCUCCCGGGAGCGGGGGACCACCAGGUUGCCUAAGGAGGGGUGAACCGGCCCAGGUCGGAAACGGAGCAGGUCAAAACUCCCGUGCUGAUCAGUAGAGGGGUGAACCGGCCCAGGUCGGAAACGGAGCAGGUCAAAACUCCCGUGCUGAUCAGUAGUGGGAUUGCGCCUGUGAAUAGCCACUGCACUCCAGCCUGGGCAACAUAGUGAGACCC